CGAUGGGUAGGGGUCCUGAGGGGGAGAUCCCCCACACUGGUACUGAGACACGGACCAGACUCCUACGGGAGGCAGCAGUGAGGAAUAUUGGACAAUGGGCGCAAGCCUGAUCCAGCCAUGCCGCGUGCAGGAUGACGGUCCUAUGGAUUGUAAACUGCUUUUAUACGAGAAGAAACACUCCUACGUGUAGGAGCUUGACGGUAUCGUAAGAAUAAGGAUCGGCUAACUCCGUGCCAGCAGCCGCGGUAAUACGGAGGAUCCAAGCGUUAUCCGGAAUCAUUGGGUUUAAAGGGUCCGUAGGCGGUUUAAUAAGUCAGUGGUGAAAGCCCAUCGCUCAACGGUGGAACGGCCAUUGAUACUGUUAAACUUGAAUUAUUAGGAAGUAACUAGAAUAUGUAGUGUAGCGGUGAAAUGCUUAGAGAUUACAUGGAAUACCAAUUGCGAAGGCAGGUUACUACUAAUUGAUUGACGCUGAUGGACGAAAGCGUGGGUAGCGAACAGGAUUAGAUACCCUGGUAGUCCACGCCGUAAACGAUGGAUACUAGCUGUUGGGAGCAAUCUCAGUGGCUAAGCGAAAGUGAUAAGUAUCCCACCUGGGGAGUACGUUCGCAAGAAUGAAACUCAAAGGAAUUGACGGGGGCCCGCACAAGCGGUGGAGCAUGUGGUUUAAUUCGAUGAUACGCGAGGAACCUUACCAAGGCUUAAAUGUAGAUUGACCGAUUUGGAAACAGAUCUUUCGCAAGACAAUUUACAAGGUGCUGCAUGGUUGUCGUCAGCUCGUGCCGUGAGGUGUCAGGUUAAGUCCUAUAACGAGCGCAACCCCUGUUGUUAGUUGCCAGCGAGUCGUGUCGGGAACUCUAACAAGACUGCCAGUGCAAACUGUGAGGAAGGUGGGGAUGACGUCAAAUCAUCACGGCCCUUACGCCUUGGGCUACACACGUGCUACAAUGGCCGGUACAGAGAGCAGCCACUGGGCGACCAGGAGCGAAUCUAUAAAACCGGUCACAGUUCGGAUCGGAGUCUGCGACUCGACUCCGUGAAGCUGGAAUCGCUAGUAAUCGGAUAUCAGCCAUGAUCCGGUGAAUACGUUCCCGGGCCUUGUACACACCGCCCGUCAAGCCAUGGAAGCUGGGGGUGCCUGAAGUCGGUGACCGCAAGGAGCUGCCUAGGGUAAGACUGGUAACUAGGGCUAAGUCGGAACAAGGUAGCCGUACCGGGAGGUGCGGCUG
RNAcentral lists this ribosomal RNA (1229 nucleotides) under metagenome. RNAcentral's name for it is "bacterial SSU rRNA". It matches the Rfam family "Bacterial small subunit ribosomal RNA", at positions 277 to 1520 of the family's 1533-position model. The record is from RNAcentral.